RNAcentral lists this ribosomal RNA (507 nucleotides) under uncultured bacterium. RNAcentral describes it as "partial 16S ribosomal RNA". It matches the Rfam family "Bacterial small subunit ribosomal RNA", at positions 28 to 507 of the family's 1533-position model. The record is from RNAcentral.
GACGAACGCUGGCGGCGUGCCUAAUACAUGCAAGUCGAACGCAUUUUCUUUCACCGUAGCUUGCUACACCGAAAGAAAAUGAGUGGCGAACGGGUGAGUAACACGUGGGUAACCUGCCCAUCAGCGGGGGAUAACACUUGGAAACAGGUGCUAAUACCGCAUAAUUCCAUUUACUGCAUGGUAGAUGGAUGAAAGGCGCUUUUGCGUCACUGAUGGAUGGACCCGCGGUGCAUUAGCUAGUUGGUGGGGUAACGGCCUACCAAGGCUGCGAUGCAUAGCCGACCUGAGAGGGUGAUCGGCCACACUGGGACUGAGACACGGCCCAGACUCCUAAGGGAGGCAGCAGUAGGGAAUCUUCGGCAAUGGACGCAAGUCUGACCGAGCAACGCCGCGUGAGUGAAGAAGGGUUUCGGAUCGUAAAACUCUGUUGUUAGAAAAGAAAAAGGAUGAGAGUGGAAAGUUCAUCCCUUGACGGUAUCUAACCAGAAAGCCACGGCUAACUACGUG